Molecule: ribosomal RNA, 857 nt
Filed under: uncultured archaeon
Lineage: Archaea
Description: bacterial SSU rRNA
Rfam family: Archaeal small subunit ribosomal RNA
Source: RNAcentral
ACCUCAAGUGGUCAGGAUGAUUAUUGGGCCUAAAGCAUCCGUAGCCUACUUUGUAAGUUUUCGGUUAAAUCCAUGUGCUCAACGCAUGGGCUGCCGAAAAUACUGCAUAGCUAGGGAGUGGGAGAGGUAGACGGUACCCAGUAGGUAGGGGUAAAAUCCUUUGAUCUAUUGAUGACCACCUGUGGCGAAGGCGGUCUACCAGAACACGUUCGACGGUGAGGGAUGAAAGCUGGGGGAGCAAACCGGAUUAGAUACCCGGGUAGUCCCAGCUGUAAACGAUGCAGACUCGAUGAUGCAUUGGCAUAAUAGCCAUUGCAGUGUCGCAGGGAAGCCGUUAAGUCUGCCGCCUGGGAAGUACGUACGCAAGUAUGAAACUUAAAGGAAUUGGCGGGGGAGCACCACAAGGGGUGAAGCCUGCGGUUCAAUUGGAGUCAACGCCAGAAAUCUUACCCGGAGAGACAGCAGAAUGAAGGUCAAGCUGAAGACUUUACCAGACAAGCUGAGAGGUGGUGCAUGGCCGUCGCCAGCUCGUGCCGUGAGAUGUCCUGUUAAGUCAGGUAACGAGCGAGAUCCCUGCCGCUAGUUGCUAUCAUUAUUCUCAGGAAUAGUGGAGCGAAUUAGUGGGACUGCCGUUGUUAAAACGGAGGAAGGAAGGGGCUACGGCAGGUCAGUAUGCCCCGAAACUCUGGGGCCACACGCGGGCUGCAAUGGUAGUGACAAUGAGUUCCAAACUCGAAAGAGAGUGGCAAUCUCUAAACGCUACCACAGUUAUGACUGAGGGCUGUAACUCGCCCUCACGAAUAUGGAAUCCCUAGUAACCGCGUGUCAUUACCGCGCGGUGAAUACGUCCCUGCUCC